UGUGUACUCCCUCCGUUCCAAAAUACUUGACUUCCAUUUGUCCAAAAAUGGAUGUACCUAUAUACUAAAACAUGUCUAGAUACAUAUAUAUUAUGACAAAUAGAAGGCAUGUAUUGUGCAAUGGAGGGAGUAGAAU
Molecule: non-coding RNA, 136 nt
Organism: Triticum aestivum (bread wheat)
Lineage: Eukaryota; Viridiplantae; Streptophyta; Magnoliopsida; Poales; Poaceae
Source: Rfam